GCCAGGUGUGGUGGUGUGCACCUGUAGUCCCAGCUACCUGGGAGGCUGAGAUGGGAGGAUCACCUGAGCCCAGGGAGGUUGAGGCUACAGUGAGCUGAGAUCACGCCACUGCACUCCAGCCUGAGCAACAGAGCGAGACCCUGUCUCUA
This is an unclassified non-coding RNA of Pongo abelii (Sumatran orangutan), 149 nucleotides long. It matches the Rfam family "Metazoan signal recognition particle RNA". Rfam says of the family: The signal recognition particle (SRP) is a universally conserved ribonucleoprotein. It is involved in the co-translational targeting of proteins to membranes. Lineage: Eukaryota; Metazoa; Chordata; Mammalia; Primates; Hominidae. The record is from Ensembl.